Molecule: ribosomal RNA, 110 nt
Filed under: Acanthosepion pharaonis
Lineage: Eukaryota; Metazoa; Mollusca; Cephalopoda; Sepiida; Sepiidae
Source: RNAcentral
AGCCAUGUCAGAUUGAAACACUGAUUCUCGAAUGAUCACUGAAGUUAAGCAACAUUGAGCCUGGUCAGUCCCUAGAUGGGUGACCGCUUGGAAAUAUCAGGUGCAGUAAG